GACGAACGCUGGCGGCGUGCCUAAUACUUGCAAGUCGAGCGAGACUCUUCGGAGUCUAGCGGCGGACGGGUGAGUAACACGUGGGCAACCUGCCUGUAAGACUGGGAUAACACCGGGAAACCGGUGCUAAUACCGGAUAAUCCUUUUCCUCUCAUGAGGAAAAGCUGAAAGUCGGUUUCGGCUGACACUUACAGAUGGGCCCGGGGCGCAUUAGCUAGUUGGUGAGGUAACGGCCCACCAAGGCGACGAUGCGUAGCCGACCUGAGAGGGUGGUCGGCCACACUGGGACUGAGACACGGCCCAGACUCCUACGGGAGGCAGCAGUAGGGAAUCUUCCACAAUGGACGAAAGUCUGAUGGAGCAACGCCGCGUGAGCGAUGAAGGCCUUCGGGUCGUAAAGCUCUGUUGUUAGGGAAGAACAAGUAUCGGAGUAACUGCCGGUACCUUGACGGUACCUAACCAGAAAGCCACGGCUAACUACGUGCCAGCCGCCGCGGUAA
RNAcentral lists this ribosomal RNA (500 nucleotides) under uncultured bacterium. RNAcentral describes it as "partial 16S ribosomal RNA". It matches the Rfam family "Bacterial small subunit ribosomal RNA", at positions 28 to 523 of the family's 1533-position model. The record is from RNAcentral.